Molecule: long non-coding RNA, 1928 nt
Organism: Parus major (Great Tit)
Lineage: Eukaryota; Metazoa; Chordata; Aves; Passeriformes; Paridae
Source: Ensembl
ACGUACUUGGGAUCUGGAUGAUUUCCCAUGGUGAAAAUUACUAAUGCCUUAAUUAUUUUUAGCCACUGAUUUUGCCUUUCUAUGUGUGUGCUUGUGUUGAGAAAGUCACCAGGAAAUGGACGGACUUUGCCCUUUGAUGGGAUUUGAGAUCACUGUAACAUCACAGGAGAAAAAGCAUCAGUUCUGGCACCCAGGAGAGCGGCUGGGGUGCUUCGAAGAAUCACCAAAGUAGAAAGAAGCUGUAUUGCCUGGAUCCAGUUGAAUAAAGACAUAAAAGAUGAGCACCCAGUCCUUGAUCUGGACCUGAUAUUCCUGACUGGAGAGGAAAGAACAGAUAAUUAUGGAUUUCUGCAGAUAAUGGCUCAGGAGGCAGGUGUUAUAUUUGGAGCUAAUGAAACAGGUCCAGUAUCUGUGCUUCCAGAGCAGUUUCCAGUUAGGAGAUACAGUACUAAUGAAGCCAAUGGGUCACGAGAGCGUACGCGUUAAUGGAAGACAGACAUUCUGGUGCCUGUUGCCACUUAGUCUACUAGUCAAAAUAGAAGUACAGUAAAAUCUCCAUGUUCAUUAUCAUCUUGACAAUCUCCAAGCAGAAUCGUUUGAUACAAAGCUGUGGUAUGGAGCCAAUUACGGGAAAUGUCUUCCUUUGCAAUUCAGCCUUCCCUGGGCUCACAGCAGCCGUGAUACAUUUAUCAUGUUACUUUUGAAAAGGACCAUACUGGCAGGCCCCACCAGAAAUACAAGAAGGACCUGCUCCUUUCCUCCCAGCCCCAUUCACUACCUGAUGCAUACAGUACUAUAUAUUAAGCUGUAUGGUCUUACAUUUAGUGUGUGAGAAAGAAUUGUAUAAUUAAAUCUUUCAUCUGGAUGUCUUUGUGUUCUUUCUCAACAAGCACAAUGUAAAUAGUAUGUUCCAUUUCUUUAGAUACUUAUUGGAAAACAUAAAAGCCAAACUGAUACACUGUUUAUUUUUUUUCUGGUUGUUUUUAGAGAACUGCAACUGUAUGUAUUCUGUAUGCCCAAGAAGUGAUGGAUUCAGUCCCUCUGUAACAAGACAUGUGGCCUCAUGGCUAUUGAAGGUCUUGACCUGUGUGCUUCUACAGUCAGCAGAGGAAACUGGAGACUCUGAUUUGUCUUUGAGGUAUCCUAGUCCCACACAGAGAAAACUGAUAGGCAUAUAUGUGUGUGUGUGUGUGUGUGUGUGUGUAUGGGGUAAAAUAAAGUGAAUAAAUCCUUUUAUAUGGAUAAUAGUACUGGAAUAAUGGGUUUUGAUAGUUCUUUGGUCUGAGUGAAGGAUUUUACUUCUGAUUCUCCCAAAUGUGACUUUUUCCAGAAAACUCUCACAGCCCAGAAGAAAUUUACUAUCAUCCUGAGCAUGCUUAUUUACACAAAUCAGAACUGAUCUCUACAGAAGUAGAAUUCCAUCUGGCAAUCCCUAAAACACCUUUGCUUCUGAUUCUGAAAGACCUUCUCUUUGAAAUGCAUGCAGUAACCCAGGAACAAUAGCUUACACUUCAGUCCAAAGAUUCUCCGUACCCUUUAACUUCCUUCCAAGACUUAAUUAUUUUUUCAUUCUCUUAUGUAUAUAGACUGGGCAUGUGAGCAUGUAACAGAACUUCAGGAGUAAUUCUACAAAAGGUUGCUGGAUCUGUUGGAAGAAGAACUACACUAUCUUCCUUCUGGCAGCUGUAUAUUUAACUGUUCAUCUAUGGAAUACCAAUAUAUUUUGAAGGUGCUGGUACAGCUGUCUGUGUUUGCACAAGGUAUGUAAUUUGUCUGUGCCUUUGUCCUUCACAACAGGGAAACAACAAGGCUGUGAGGAUAAAUACCAGGGCUUUCUGGAGGAUUUCAGAAACUCAUCAGGUACACUCUGACAAUAUCAUCCUUUCUUCUGGGCCUGGUAGAAUAAAAGAAAUUGAGCUGUUGAAGCA